Molecule: long non-coding RNA, 2854 nt
Organism: Daucus carota subsp. sativus
Lineage: Eukaryota; Viridiplantae; Streptophyta; Magnoliopsida; Apiales; Apiaceae
Exons: 9
Source: RefSeq, a predicted model, not a curated record
AAAACACAUAACCGGCUAGAUAACCAGCUUGGUUAAUCGCGGGCUGAAUCAAAUCACGGGCUUCUAAUUUCAUCAUAUGCCCUCAAAUUAUGGUACUGUAAGUGAAUGUCUUCGGGAUACAUGCUAUGCUCUGGGUGUUUAAUUUCAAAUUUCAAAUUCAACAUCUUUCUUCUUCAUCAAAGUGUUCUUCUGUAGACUCAUGGUUUGGUUUUUUACAAAAGACGGAUGUAGUAUGGAUGUAGACCGGAGAGCGGUGGGAAUGGCUAUUGAAGUUUGUGAGUCCGGCUUAUGACCUGAUUUCCAGAGGCGCCACUGAAUUGAUGCCGGUUUUUUUCCCAUUUUAGUCGUUGAUGCGUUAGAUUACGGGUGUCAGUGAUCAAGAUUUUUGCAAAUCACAUGGUUGGGGAAAGAGUUCGCUUAGUUGUACUCACUGAUCAUCAUCGUACGAACGUAGCUCGCAAUGUGAAUUUAGAAAGGCUGCAAAGGAACUAUCUGUUCCCUGAGGCAGUGAAGUUUUUGUACUUCAAUCAGUCUAGGGGCUUCGAUAAAAUCAAGGCUUCAAUUUUCGUUUAAAGGUAAAUCCUUUUUCAUCUUUAGGAUUGUGUGUAUAUCUGUGUCUUAGUUUUAGUUUUGUUGUUGAUAAUUUCUCAGUAUCGAUAUUGUAUGUUGAUGCAUUUGUAAGUUUUUAUUGGAUGUGCACUUUUCCAGAGGGCUAAUUCAAGUCAGAUUCUCAUUUGAGAAAAUUAAUUCUUUUCUGCUUGAGGAUGCACUGAUAAGAAAUGAAAAUGCAAGGAAAACAUGGGACUCAAAAGUCAAAACUGUGGACUACAAUACUGAAUGACAAUAUCAGUUGGGACCCUGAUUCAGGUAUGUAGGUAUUGCUGACUUAAAAUUGCGGAUUGGGUUUGGUGGUUAUUUCUUAUGGGAUCUAGAAUAUAUUGCAUUGUUUUCAGAAAUAUGAUCAUUGGCCAGUCAACAGAGGUUAUGUCAACAGACUCAACACACAUUAUUAUUUCGAAUCUGACCUUUCUUAAUUCAACUUUCUGGAACAUCCACUGUGUAAUGUAGGUAAUUACAUAUUACAAGUUUGGAAUCAUGGAUCUACAUUCUAGCCUUGCCUCUGUCCAUUACAAGUUUGGAAUCAAUGACUUGAGGAUAUCAUUCAAAAUAUAUUAAUUGUUUGAUAAGCCAACCUAUGAUAUGCUUUUCUCUGAAGCUCCCAAGUUCAAGCUUAUCAUUCCUUCCAUCCUUUAUGAUCGUUUGAGGGAAAGGGCAGGCAAUUCCAUAUUUGUUCUAUACGACAGUCUGCAGGUAUACUGUGAUUAUGACAUGCAUCAGUGCACUUCUACAUAAAAAAAAUAGUUAUUAAUAGGGUACUCAUCUAUCAAGGAAGAUGUACACGAGCUUGAUGCAAUAACCAUUUCAAGCAUUAAUCCUGCCUUCUUUGAUAUAGGAUUUAAUGUAUAUUUAUACAUCUAAUGUGUUUCAUGAGUUACUGGGGUACAUAAGUACAUUUAUGGUCAAGCUGAUCAAGUUCAAUUUAUAUUUAUUGAUCAAGUUCAAGUUUACAAUUUAACUAAUUGUUUUAUUCGAUCACAUUUUAUGUAAUUUACUUUGAUUUUUGCGGAAACAAAUAAAUGUUUCAUACAUUUAAACUCCUGGGCAGUAAAUUUCAUACAUUUAUUUAUAACUAUUACAUUUGUAAUUAUUUCUUUCUGGCAAUUACUAACCAAUUUUUUUUACAGGAAACAAUACUAUUCUGCAAACGCAAUUAAUAUAAUUAUGAGUCCACUUGAAGCUUAAUCAGCGUAUCUGUCUUCUGCACCAUUAAUUUGUGGCUUAUUGCAUGUUUUUCUGGAUCAGUACUAAAUUUAUUUUAAAAAAAUCGCAGGAGCUGGCAGGAGACAAGAUGCAUGCGGCCUAUCAUCCCACAUACUUAAUGAAAGAAAUGAUCCAGAAUGGAUGCAGAAUCUGACAACAAAGGAUCUGCAAAUCCUGCUGAAACUCCUGAUAUUGUGUUACCUUCUUCUACAAACCCUAAACAAAGUGUAAGCAAAAGGCCAGCUCAGGAAGAAUCAGAAACUGAAAAUGCAGCAAAAAAAUCUGACCCUAAUGAAAUUGCAGACGGUGCAUCGGGAUCUCUUUCAACUAAGUGUUUUUGGUUCUCUCACAAAAGGAAAAGGUGCAAUCCUGAGAAGGUGACACUGAUGCUGAUUCAAAAGAUACUUUUCUCUUAUAGAAGUGAAUCAUACUCAGGGUUGUCUAGGAGCUAUUGGUCACAAAACCUCACUAAAAUUGAGUUGCAUGAAUCCAAAACCUAUGUAUGAGGUAUAAGUUUUACCAAGGCACAGAAAAUAUCAGCUUUGUUGUGAUAUGUGUGAGCCAGCCUGUCAAUAGCCUUAACUGCAAUGGCCUUGGCAGCAGCCAUUCAUAAGGCAAUAGAAUCAGAUACCUCCAAGAUGCAGCCAUGGCAUUGGUAAUUAUUCUGGUGGCAAGCUCAAUGUGCAAGGACUGCAGAGGCAAAGGGGGCCAAGAAAGACCAAAAAAAUUAAAGGAUCAAAGUAUCACGGACAUCCCUGAAGUCUUUUCUCAUGAAGCUGUUUUCACCGGAAUGAGAUGGUUAGCAGUAGCAAUUUAAAAUUUGUAGAUACUCAAUAAGUUAAUUUGUUGGAGGUAUUGCAGAUGGUAUGUGUAAGUGCAUCUGAAAGGUACAAGUGACAGGCUGAUAGCAGUAGUGUCUGAAGCAUGUUUUCAGACAUAGUUGCUUUUGUUUGGCAACAUAUUCUAAACAAGAGUAAAUCUGGGUCUUUUUAUUUUACUUUAAAUAAUACUGUGAAUUUGUUUUAAUGUUUUU